UACGUAGGGUGCAAGCGUUGUCCGGAAUUAUUGGGCGUAAAGAGCUCGUAGGCGGUCUGUCGCGUCUGCUGUGAAAACCUAGGGCUUAACUCUGGGCGUGCAGUGGGUACGGGCAGGCUAGAGUGCGGUAGGGGAGACUGGAAUUCCUGGUGUAGCGGUGAAAUGCGCAGAUAUCAGGAGGAACACCGGUGGCGAAGGCGGAUCUCUGGGCCGUAACUGACGCUGAGGAGCGAAAGCAUGGGGAGCGAACAGG
Molecule: ribosomal RNA, 253 nt
Filed under: uncultured bacterium
Lineage: Bacteria
Description: partial 16S ribosomal RNA
Rfam family: Bacterial small subunit ribosomal RNA
Source: RNAcentral